GAGUUUGAUCCUGGCUCAGGAUGAACGCUGGCGGCGUGCCUAACACAUGCAAGUCGAACGAAGCACCUUUUAAGAUUCUUCGGAUGAUUGAUUGGUGAUUGAGUGGCGGACGGGUGAGUAACGCGUGGGUAACCUGCCCUGUACAGGGGGAUAACAGUCAGAAAUGACUGCUAAUACCGCAUAAGACCACAGCACCGCAUGGUGCAGGGGUAAAAACUCCGGUGGUACAGGAUGGACCCGCGUCUGAUUAGCUGGUUGGUGAGGUAACGGCUCACCAAGGCGACGAUCAGUAACCGGCUUGAGAGAGUGAACGGCCACAUUGGGACUGAGACACGGCCCAAACUCCUACGGGAGGCAGCAGUGGGGAAUAUUGCACAAUGGGGGAAACCCUGAUGCAGCGACGCCGCGUGAGUGAAGAAGUAUCUCGGUAUGUAAAGCUCUAUCAGCAGGGAAGAAAAUGACGGUACCUGACUAAGAAGCCCCGGCUAACUACGUGCCAGCCGCCGCGGUAAUUC
RNAcentral lists this ribosomal RNA (515 nucleotides) under uncultured bacterium. RNAcentral describes it as "bacterial SSU rRNA". It matches the Rfam family "Bacterial small subunit ribosomal RNA", at positions 9 to 526 of the family's 1533-position model. The record is from RNAcentral.